Molecule: long non-coding RNA, 1855 nt
Organism: Prunus persica (peach)
Lineage: Eukaryota; Viridiplantae; Streptophyta; Magnoliopsida; Rosales; Rosaceae
Exons: 3
Source: RefSeq, a predicted model, not a curated record
UUUUAAAAUUUUUUUUUUUAAAAUUUCGGCGCUGUUCUCUGAUUCUCCCACCCCCUAUUCUAAAUGCCUAACCUUGCUUACUUUCUUCAGUUUUUGGUUUUUCCAAGCAUAUUAUUUUCUUAGCUGAAAAUUACAUUUUUGAGUAGAAUUGGAAUUGGCAAGAUUUUGGUGGAAUUAAGGAGUGGCACAGGGUGAAGAAGACUGAAUCAAAAUUCAAAUCAAUGAUGUCAUUGGAAGGAGUGGCCAUAAUCAUACGAAGCCAUAUUUUGCUCGGUUUCCCCAUGCUCCACCAGGUGCUGUUCUUCCUAUCAAAGAUAUUGUUCUUUGUGCUCAUGAUGUUGGUGCAAAAGUCCUUGUAGAUGCAUGUCAAGAGUGUUCCACAUAUGGUGGUUGAUGUGCAGAAUAUUUUUAAUUUUUUUAAUUUUUUUAAAAGAGAAAACUUCUAUUCCCACCGAAAAGCUUCAAUCUUUCACUAAGCAGAGCACCACAGGACUCAAAAUUCCUCCAUGAUUGAUAAACAUGCCUCCCUAAAUAACCGAUUCACGACGAAGAAACUAAUGAAUGCUGACUUUCUUGUUGCUUCUUCUCACAAGGUUAGGAUACUGCCUUAUGUACUGUAACCUAGCCUUAUGGGCAAGGCAAGUAUAUGAAGCAAGGAAUAAACAUGCCUCAGAUGUGUGGGCCUACAGCCUACAGGCGUCGGAUUCUUAUAUGGAAAGAGAGAGUGAUCUCUUGUCCGCCAUGCCUCCAUUUUUAGCUAGAUUUGAGGCGCUGGAACACCAGCAAUUGGGUUAGGAGCAGCUACUGAUUAUCUAUCAGGAUUUGGUAUGUAAAAAAUACAUGAUGAUGAGGUAAGUUGAAUUCUUCUGCCUUCUGAAUUUCUUGUUCUAUAUAUCUGGUUUAUACAGUUUUGUUGCAGGGCUUUUCUUUUGGUUAUUAAUUGUAGUAAUUGAAAGAGAAACUAUUAUAGUUGAAAAGAUAAUCGUAUUGCAUUGACAGGGCUAGUAACAUUUAAGACUCCGAAAGGCAGAAAGGCGAAUCGCGUAUUCCAUUCCAAGUACUUUAUCUAGCGAAAUCUAUGCCAAGAUUGUGCGUUUCUCUUUUAAGCCAAGAUCACAUGUUUAUGUAGUCCUUAACUUGUUUGCAAUUUUAUUUUCCUUUUCUUGUUUGCAAUUUUAUUUUCCUUUUUACAGAUAUUUCUUGCAAAAUAUCUAUACUAUAGACUUUGUUUCGUCCCUGAUAUUCGCACACGUCUUCUCCGCUGCUCUGUGUUCUUUCAACGUCGAAAAUAUACCCUACAUAUCUGGCAACUUUUCUUAAGUCAAGAUCACACGUUUAUGUAGUCCUUAACUUGUUUGCAAUUUUAUUUUCCUUUUUACAGAUAUUUCUUGCAAAAUAUCUAUACUAUAGACUUUGUUUCGUCCCUGAUAUUCGCACACGUCUUCUCCGCUGCUCUGUGUUCUUUCAACGUCGAAAAUAUACCCUACAUAUCUGGCAACUUUUCUUGACCAACAGGUGUGGAAGGAAAUAGAAAUGAGAUUUAAUAAAAUAGCUUAUACUGAGUCUUGUGUUCCCAGCAUGAAGUGGCUAUCCAAUCAGGUCACCAUUGUGCAGAACCCCUUCAUCGGCAUUUAGGAGUGCCUGCAAGUGCACGAGCAAGUCUUCACUGGUACAACACUGUUGAGGAUAUUGAUGACUUUAUCCAGGCCCUCCAUGACACAGUCAGCUUCUUUAAUUCUCUCAAGUAGGGGCUUGUACUCUUCCCAUCCUUGCCAGGCUUCUGUAAAUUUUGUAUAAACUUUUCUACGGACACACACCGUAAGCUUAUAUGAUCUGAGUAUAGUUUGUGCAAUAA